This 1470-nucleotide ribosomal RNA is filed under the name metagenome. Its description in RNAcentral is "bacterial SSU rRNA". It matches the Rfam family "Bacterial small subunit ribosomal RNA". The record is from RNAcentral.
AGAGUUUGAUCCUGGCUCAGGACGAACGCUGGCGGCACGCUUAACACAUGCAAGUCGAACGAGAGAAGAGGAGCUUGCUUUUCUGAUCUAGUGGCGGACGGGUGAGUAACACGUGAGCAAUCUGCCUUUCAGAGGGGGAUACCGAUUGGAAACGAUCGUUAAUACCGCAUAACAUAAUUGAACCGCAUGAUUUGAUUAUCAAAGAUUUAUCGCUGAAAGAUGAGCUCGCGUCUGAUUAGCUAGUUGGUAAGGUAACGGCUUACCAAGGCGACGAUCAGUAGCCGGACUGAGAGGUUGAUCGGCCACAUUGGGACUGAGACACGGCCCAGACUCCUACGGGAGGCAGCAGUGGGGAAUAUUGCACAAUGGAGGAAACUCUGAUGCAGCGAUGCCGCGUGAGGGAAGAAGGUUUUAGGAUUGUAAACCUCUGUCUUCAGGGACGAAAAAAGACGGUACCUGAGGAGGAAGCUCCGGCUAACUACGUGCCAGCAGCCGCGGUAAUACGUAGGGAGCGAGCGUUGUCCGGAAUUACUGGGUGUAAAGGGAGCGUAGGCGGGAUCGCAAGUCAGAUGUGAAAACUAUGGGCUUAACCCAUAAACUGCAUUUGAAACUGUGGUUCUUGAGUGAAGUAGAGGUAAGCGGAAUUCCUAGUGUAGCGGUGAAAUGCGUAGAUAUUAGGAGGAACAUCAGUGGCGAAGGCGGCUUACUGGGCUUUAACUGACGCUGAGGCUCGAAAGCGUGGGGAGCAAACAGGAUUAGAUACCCUGGUAGUCCACGCCGUAAACGAUGAUUACUAGGUGUGGGGGGACUGACCCCUUCCGUGCCGCAGCAAACGCAAUAAGUAAUCCACCUGGGGAGUACGACCGCAAGGUUGAAACUCGAAGGAAUUGACGGGGGCCCGCACAAGCAGUGGAGUAUGUGGAUUAAUUCGAAGCAACGCGAAGAACCUUACCAGGUCUUGACAUCGUAUGCAUAGCUCAGAGAUGAGUGAAAUCUCUUCGGAGACAUAUAGACAGGUGGUGCAUGGUUGUCGUCAGCUCGUGUCGUGAGAUGUUGGGUUAAGUCCCGCAACGAGCGCAACCCUUACUGUUAGUUGCUACGCAAGAGCACUCUAGCAGGACUGCCGUUGACAAAACGGAGGAAGGUGGGGAUGACGUCAAAUCAUCAUGCCCCUUAUGACCUGGGCCUCACACGUACUACAAUGGCUGUCAACAGAGGGAAGCAAAGCCGCGAGGUGGAGCGAACCCCUAAAAGCAGUCUUAGAUCGGAUUGUAGGCUGCAACCCGCCUACAUGAAGUCGGAAUUGCUAGUAAUCGCAGAUCAGCAUGCUGCGGUGAAUACGUUCCCGGGCCUUGUACACACCGCCCGUCACGCCAUGGGAGUCGGUAACACCCGAAGCCUGUAGUCUAACCGCAAGGAGGACGCAGUCGAAGGUGGGAUUGAUGACUGGGGUGAAGUCGUAACAAGGUA